This 24-nucleotide non-coding RNA is filed under the name Arabidopsis thaliana (thale cress). Lineage: Eukaryota; Viridiplantae; Streptophyta; Magnoliopsida; Brassicales; Brassicaceae. The record is from RNAcentral.
GGGUUUGAGUUUUGUGAUAUUAGC